AUACGUAGGGGGCGAGCGUUGUCCGGAAUGAUUGGGCGUAAAGGGCGCGUAGGCGGCCCGGUAAGUCUGGAGUGAAAGUCCUGUUUUUAAGAUGGGAAUUGCUUUGGAUACUGUCGGGCUUGAGUGCAGGAGAGGGAAGUGGAAUUCCCAGUGUAGCGGUGAAAUGCGUAGAGCUUGGGAGGAACACCAGUGGCGAAGGCGACUUACUGGACUGUAACUGACGCUGAGGCGCGAAAGUGUGGGGAGCAAACAGGAUUAGAUACCCUGGUAGUCCACACUGUAAACGAUGAAUGCUAGGUGUAAGAGGUAUCGACCCCUUUUGUGCCGGAGUCAACACAAUAAGCAUUCCGCCUGGGGAGUACGGCCGCAAGGUUGAAACUCAAAUGAAUUGGCGGGG
RNAcentral lists this ribosomal RNA (397 nucleotides) under uncultured bacterium. Its description in RNAcentral is "partial 16S ribosomal RNA". It matches the Rfam family "Bacterial small subunit ribosomal RNA", at positions 523 to 918 of the family's 1533-position model. The record is from RNAcentral.